AGAAUCAACGCUGGCGGCGUGCCUAACACAUGCAAGUCGAACGAGAAAGUGGAGCAAUCCACAAGUAAAGUGGCGCACGGGUGAGUAACACGUGACUAACCUACCCUGGAGUGGGGGACAACUGAGGGAACCUUAGCUAAUACCGCAUAAUACCUACGGGUCAAAGGAGCAAUUCGCUUUGGGAGGGGUCGCGGCCGAUUAGUUAGUUGGCGGGGUAAUGGCCCACCAAGACGAUGAUCGGUAU
Molecule: ribosomal RNA, 244 nt
Filed under: uncultured bacterium
Lineage: Bacteria
Description: partial small subunit ribosomal RNA
Rfam family: Bacterial small subunit ribosomal RNA
Source: RNAcentral